GACAGAGGAGGCAAGCGUUAUCCGGAAUUAUUGGACGUAAAGCGUCCGUAGGUGGUUUGACAAGUCUGGGGUUAAAGCCCGGAGCCCAACUCCGGAUCGGCCCUGGAAACUGUCAGACUUGAGUGAGGUAGGGGUUGCGGGAAUUCCCGGUGUAGCGGUGAAAUGCGUAGAUAUCGGGAAGAACACCUGAGGCGAAAGCGCGCAACUGGGCCAUUACUGACACUGAGGGACGAAAGCUAGGGGAGCGAAUGGG
This 253-nucleotide ribosomal RNA is filed under the name uncultured bacterium. RNAcentral's name for it is "partial 16S ribosomal RNA". It matches the Rfam family "Bacterial small subunit ribosomal RNA", at positions 524 to 776 of the family's 1533-position model. The record is from RNAcentral.